GAUGAACGCUGGCGGCGUGCCUAAUACAUGCAAGUCGAGCGAACGGACGAGAAGCUUGCUUCUCUGAUGUUAGCGGCGGACGGGUGAGUAACACGUGGAUAACCUACCUAUAAGACUGGGAUAACUUCGGGAAACCGUAGCUAAUACCGGAUAAUAUUUUGAACCGCAUGGUUCAAAAGUGAAAGACGGUCUUGCUGUCACUUAUAGAUGGAUCCGCGCUGCAUUAGCUAGUUGGUAAGGUAACGGCUUACCAAGGCAACGAUGCAUAGCCGACCUGAGAGGGUGAUCGGCCACACUGGAACUGAGACACGGUCCAGACUCCUACGGGAGGCAGCAGUAGGGAAUCUUCCGCAAUGGGCGAAGGCCUGACGGAGCAACGCCGCGUGAGUGAUGAAGGUCUUCGGAUCGUAAAACUCUGUAUUAGGGAAGAACAUAUGUGUAAGUAACUGUGCACAUCUUGACGGUACCUAAUCAGAAAGCCACGGCUAACUACGUG
This 496-nucleotide ribosomal RNA is filed under the name uncultured bacterium. Its description in RNAcentral is "partial 16S ribosomal RNA". It matches the Rfam family "Bacterial small subunit ribosomal RNA", at positions 28 to 507 of the family's 1533-position model. The record is from RNAcentral.